Molecule: small nuclear RNA, 106 nt
Organism: Perca flavescens (yellow perch)
Lineage: Eukaryota; Metazoa; Chordata; Actinopteri; Perciformes; Percidae
Source: RefSeq, a predicted model, not a curated record
GUGCUAUGAUUAGUAGCACAUGUAAAAAACUGGGAACGAUACAGAGAAGAUUAGCAUGGCCCUGUGCAAGGAUGACACGCAUGAUCGUGAAGCGUUCUCAUUUUUA